RNAcentral lists this ribosomal RNA (195 nucleotides) under uncultured Fusarium. Its description in RNAcentral is "partial 26S ribosomal RNA". It matches the Rfam family "Eukaryotic large subunit ribosomal RNA", at positions 1 to 197 of the family's 3401-position model. The record is from RNAcentral. Lineage: Eukaryota; Fungi; Ascomycota; Sordariomycetes; Hypocreales; Nectriaceae.
UUGACCUCGGAUCAGGUAGGAAUACCCGCUGAACUUAAGCAUAUCAAUAAGCGGAGGAAAAGAAACCAACAGGGAUUGCCCUAGUAACGGCGAGUGAAGCGGCAACAGCUCAAAUUUGAAAUCUGGCUUUUCGGGCCCGAGUUGUAAUUUGUAGAGGAUGAUUUUGAUGCGGUGCCUUCCGAAUUCCCUGGAACG